CCCUUAGAUGUUCUGGGCCGCACGCGCGCUACACUGACGAAUUCAACGAGAUUAUAACCUUUGCUGGGAGGCAUGGGUAAUCUUGUGAACGUUCGUCGUGAUGGGGAUAGAUUAUUGCAAUUGUUAAUCUUCAACGAGGAAUUCCUAGUAAACGCAAGUCAUCAGCUUGCAUUGAUUACGUCCCUGCCCUUUGUGCACACCGCCCGUCGCACCUACCGAUUGAAUGGUCCGGUGAAUUCUUCGGACUGCGGCUUUGACUCGAUUUCGGUCGAGGCGUUGCUGCGGGAAGUUGAUUAAACCUUACCAUUUAGAGGAAGGUGAAGUCGUAACA
Molecule: ribosomal RNA, 331 nt
Filed under: uncultured eukaryote
Lineage: Eukaryota
Description: partial 18S ribosomal RNA
Rfam family: Eukaryotic small subunit ribosomal RNA
Source: RNAcentral